GACGAACGCUGGCGGCGUGCUUAACACAUGCAAGUCGAACGGUAAGGCCCUUCGGGGUACACGAGUGGCGAACGGGUGAGUAACACGUGGGUGAUCUGCCCUGCACUUCGGGAUAAGCCUGGGAAACUGGGUCUAAUACCGGAUAGGACUCCGGACUGCAUGGUCUGGGGUGGAAAGCUUUUGCGGUGUGGGAUGGGCCCGCGGCCUAUCAGCUUGUUGGUGGGGUGAUGGCCUACCAAGGCGACGACGGGUAGCCGGCCUGAGAGGUUGACCGGCCACACUGGGACUGAGAUACGGCCCAGACUCCUACGGGAGGCAGCAGUGGGGAAUAUUGCACAAUGGGCGCAAGCCUGAUGCAGCGACGCCGCGUGAGGGAUGACGGCCUUCGGGUUGUAAACCUCUUUCAGCAUCGACGAAGCGAAAGUGAUGGUAGGUGCAGAAGAAGGACCGGCCAACUACGUGCCAGCCGCCGCGGUAA
RNAcentral lists this ribosomal RNA (478 nucleotides) under uncultured bacterium. RNAcentral's name for it is "partial 16S ribosomal RNA". It matches the Rfam family "Bacterial small subunit ribosomal RNA", at positions 28 to 523 of the family's 1533-position model. The record is from RNAcentral.